RNAcentral lists this ribosomal RNA (253 nucleotides) under uncultured bacterium. RNAcentral's name for it is "partial 16S ribosomal RNA". It matches the Rfam family "Bacterial small subunit ribosomal RNA", at positions 524 to 776 of the family's 1533-position model. The record is from RNAcentral.
UACGAAGGGAGCUAGCGUUGUUCGGAAUCACUGGGCGUAAAGCGCACGUAGGCGGAUGUGUCAGUCAGGGGUGAAAUCCCGGAGCUCAACUUCGGAACUGCCUUUGAUACAGCACAUCUGGAGUCCGGAAGAGGUGGGUGGAAUUCCUAGUGUAGAGGUGAAAUUCGUAGAUAUUAGGAAGAACACCGGUGGCGAAGGCGGCCCACUGGUCCGGUACUGACGCUGAGGUGCGAAAGCUGGGGGAGCGAACGGG